Medicago truncatula (barrel medic) is the source of this 606-nucleotide long non-coding RNA. RefSeq lists it as uncharacterized. NCBI's taxonomy places the organism in Eukaryota, Viridiplantae, Streptophyta, Magnoliopsida, Fabales, Fabaceae. The transcript is spliced from 3 exons. The record is from RefSeq and is a predicted model, not a curated record.
UGAAUUCUAGUAAAUAUCCUAUACUUGGACUGAUUGCCAAAGAUGUACUAGCUAUGCCAGUGUCCACAGUUGCUUCAGAAUCUGCAUUUAGCACCGGGGGUAGAAUUCUUAAUAAUUAUAGGAGUUCUCUUACUCCAAAAACAGUUGAGGCUUUAAUUUGUGCACAAGAUUGGUUUCGAUCCUCUCCAUUAGCAACUGACAUUGAAGAACUUGUGGCAGAAUUUGAAAAGAUUGAGCUAGAACUAUUGCCAACUACACAACGCACUGAAGACGACUCUGGUGCUGAGUCAGAUUGAUUUGGCAUAACUUGUUGCUGCUGUUUUGGGGUUGUUGGUCUCUCAUUUUAAGUGCCUUUCAUUGGGAUCAAACAAUCAGCUUUGGAAAAAUAAUUUAGCAAGAUGGAGCUUAGUUUUGCACUCAAUUGUAGGGUGCAUUUUAUUAAGACUAUUAUUUUCGGAUUUCAUUUCUUGAGAGAGUGGAACUUUUUGGUUAAUUGUUAUUGAUCUUAAUUUUGUGUUUCGUAUGGUUUUGUAAGACAUAUAAAUAUUUGGAUAAUUUUUCUUGAAUGGUUACUACUUUGUUUGCUUAUAAGGCUACUAUAUUAUU